Molecule: ribosomal RNA, 253 nt
Filed under: uncultured bacterium
Lineage: Bacteria
Description: partial 16S ribosomal RNA
Rfam family: Bacterial small subunit ribosomal RNA
Source: RNAcentral
GACGUAGGGGGCCAGCGUUGCUCGGAAUUACUGGGCGUAAAGGGUUCGUAGGCGGUGUGGCAAGUCGGGCGUGAAAUCUCUGGGCUUAACUCAGAGGCUGCUUCCGAAACUGCCAUGCUUGAGUGCGGGAGAGGCGAGUGGAAUUACAGGUGUAGCGGUGAAAUGCGUAGAUAUCUGUAGGAACACCCGUGGCGAAGGCGGCUCGCUGGACCGCAACUGACGCUGAGGAACGAAAGCUAGGGGAGCAAACAGG